This 405-nucleotide ribosomal RNA is filed under the name uncultured bacterium. Its description in RNAcentral is "partial 16S ribosomal RNA". It matches the Rfam family "Bacterial small subunit ribosomal RNA", at positions 30 to 526 of the family's 1533-position model. The record is from RNAcentral.
AUUGAACCCUGGCGGCAGGCUUAAUACAUGCAAGUCGAACGAGUGGCGGACGGGUGAGUAAUGCUUGGGAAUCUAGCUUAUGGAGGGGGAUAACUACGGGAAACUGUAGCUAAUACCGCGAACAUUAGGUUGAGCCCAAGUGGGUUUAGUUAGUUGGUUAGGAAAGGGCUAACCAAGCCGACGAUCUCUAGCUGGUCUGAGAGGAUGACCAGCCACACUGGGACUGAGACACGGCCCAGACUCCUACGGGAGGCAGCAGUGGGGAAUAUUGCGCAAUGGGGGCAACCUGACGCAGCCAUGCCGCGUGAAUGAAGAAGGCCGUCGGGUUGUAAAGGUCUUUCGGUAGCGAGGCGUUAACUACAGAAGAAGCACCGGCUAACUCCGUGCCAGCAGCCGCGGUAAUAC